This 247-nucleotide ribosomal RNA is filed under the name uncultured Actinomycetes bacterium. Its description in RNAcentral is "uncultured actinobacterium partial 16S ribosomal RNA". It matches the Rfam family "Bacterial small subunit ribosomal RNA", at positions 28 to 276 of the family's 1533-position model. Lineage: Bacteria; Bacillati; Actinomycetota; Actinomycetes. The record is from RNAcentral.
GACGAACGCUGGCGGCGUGCUUAACACAUGCAAGUCGAGCGGUAAGGCCCUUUCGGGGGUACACGAGCGGCGAACGGGUGAGUAACACGCGGGUGACCUGCCCUGCACUCUGGGAUAAGCCUGGGAAACUGGGUCUAAUACCGGAUAUUCACAUGGUCCUGCAUGGGGUUGUGUGGAAAGUUUUUUCGGUGUGGGAUGGGCCCGCGGCCUAUCAGCUUGUUGGUGGGGUGAUGGCCUACCAAGGCGA